UACGAAGGGUGCAAACGUUGCUCGGAAUUAUUGGGCGUAAAGCGCACGUAGGCGGCUUCGCAAGUCGGAUGUGAAAUCCCUCGGCUUAACCAAGGAAGUGCAUCCGAAACUGCAGAGCUUGAGUACUUAAGAGGAUCGCGGAAUUCCCGGUGUAGAGGUGAAAUUCGUAGAUAUCGGGAGGAACACCUGUGGCGAAAGCGGCUCACUGGACCACAACUGACGCUGAGGCGCGAAAGCUAGGGGAGCAAACAGGG
Molecule: ribosomal RNA, 254 nt
Filed under: uncultured bacterium
Lineage: Bacteria
Description: partial 16S ribosomal RNA
Rfam family: Bacterial small subunit ribosomal RNA
Source: RNAcentral